RNAcentral lists this long non-coding RNA (2168 nucleotides) under Oryza sativa (Asian cultivated rice). RNAcentral's name for it is "long non-coding RNA (OSAT_LNC000478)". Lineage: Eukaryota; Viridiplantae; Streptophyta; Magnoliopsida; Poales; Poaceae. The record is from RNAcentral.
AUAAAUGUAUUGUAUUUGUAGGUCAUCUCUUCCCCCAAAAUGAACGUGCCGUGCGGACCAUCAGAAACUUGUAUGUUGAGAAUGAAAGGGUAAUUUCACUUUCUGUCAAGAAAAGGAAACAAGUUGAAUCAGAAAUAGUUCUCUCAAUUUCAGCAGCACUAUGUUCCUACUGAAUCUAUUUAAAGUAUUUAUGGUAACCGUAGGUAGUACUUGAAGGGCAGUGGAAGGAAGGCUUUGUUGCAAUUGCAGCCAUUGGUGCUACUAAUGUUGGCUCUAUCAAAGUACUCUCUCUCUCUCUCUCUCUCAGUGCUUUACGUAUCAGGAAGUAGAUCAGGCAGGCUAUGCCUUUAUGCAUUGCCUCUAAUUGCACCGUUUUCAUGAUGUGCUCUGCAUUGAUAGUAGAUUGGUAGCAGUUGCAAAUUAAGAUUAUCCAUUGCCAUGUCUGGUAGAUUGGGAUCUGAAUAUUAUACCAAGGAAAGGAGAGAUGCAAUCUUUUUCUGUAGUUGUUUAAAUAAAUUGGUACAUCGAAUUGCAGAUUAACGCUGUGAUAUUAUUCAGUUUGUCCUCCAUGGACACAUGAUGAGGAUAUGUGCAAGUUACGCAUUUGAUGAAUACAAAUAUUUUACUGAGUGAUACUCAUAUUUUGCAGCUAUAUAUUGAACCAGAGCUAAGGACAAAUAGGGCAGGGUCGAAGAUACUGAACUCCCAGCCUGAGCCUCCUGAUGAUCGAGUUUAUGAACCUGUAGGCACCGGUGUGAUGGUUAAAAAGGGGGAAGAGGUAGGGAAAUGUCAUCCCAGCUGCUUGGUACAAUGCGUGUUAAAGUUUUUUGUUAUUAUUAUUAUACUACAUACUACAUACUAGAAUAGUAGUUUGUGGUGCAAUAUUGUGAAGAGCAAUUGGUGUUGUGGACCAUUGGCAGAUAGCAGGGUUUAAGAUGGGAUCGACGGUGGUGAUGGUAUUUGAGGCACCUGUAGUGUCCAAGGCAAGAUGGAGAGAGGAUGGCAGUGGCACGGUAACGUCAGAUUUCGAUUUCUGUAUCAAGGCUGGCGAUAGGAUCAGGGUAGGAGAAGCCAUUGGGCGAUGGACAUCGCGGGAAUGAAUGAAUGAAGGCAUGGCAUGGCAUCUCUCUCUAUAUAUCUUGUGUUAACAUGAUGGAUGAUGAGUAUCGUCGUCGUAUCAAUGUCUCUUUCGUUUUUAUUUUUGAGCUGCGGUGCCGGUGCAUGCUACUACAAAAAGACUUGUAUCUUCUGUAGGGAAGUAAAGGAAACUAUUGCCAUUUUGACUUGACUUGGGCGAUUUGAGAGAGAAUGAUAUUCUUGUUACUCAGCAGUUUUAAGACUUGUUUUCAGCUUUGUUUAGUUCCAAAGUUUUUUUCUAAACUUCCAACUUUCCAUCACAUCAAACUUUUCAUACAAACACAACUUUUCAGUCACAUCGUCUCUAAUUUCAACCAAAUUCUAAACUUUGGGCCGAACUAAACACAACCUAAGUAGAAUUGUUUUGAAGUUGAAUCUUGUUCCUUCCAACUGUGUGGUUCAGGGAGACGAAAAUAUGUCCUCCUAUAGUGCAGUCAUAGAUUGAUUGUAACAUACGGAGUAGAAAUGAGACCGAUAAUUAACUGUAUGUAUCCUAGUAGUACGUUUUAGUGGCAGUAGUGGCGGUGGCGGCAACCGGCAAGGAAAGAAUGCGCAACUAUAAUAGUACUAUCUCAUAUGUUGUUUUUUUUUUACUCAUGGCAUGACAGGAGCAGAGCAAACACAGAUGACUGAUUAAUGGUUGCAUCUAGUAGUAGUAGUACAUGGAUCGAAUGGCAGCAGCAGCAGCAGCUGAAGGCAAAGUUGCUUGACAAAAAUUGAAAAGAAGAUGAUGUUGCAGCAGCAGAAGGAGUUGGUGAGAUCAGAUGAGGCCCUUGGUCCUGUACAUGUAAGAGAGAGAUGAGAUCUACGAAGAAGACAUGUUGGUCAGUAGAUGAUGAAGAAGCAAGGGAGGAUAGGAGGGAAGGGUCAGAGCACACCUACGUCUGCUUGGAGAAGGAGGAGGAUGGAGCGGAGGAAGCGGCGACGGCGGUGGAGGAGGAGGAAGAGCGCUUGCUGCGGAAGAUCAUGUAGGCGAGCGGGAGGACAACGCCGGCCAUCAUGAUGGCGGCGCCGACCAGGUACCUCGCCGG